UUCGGAUCAUGAUCAAUAUAUACACCAGUUCUCUGAGUCUCGUUCUCUCAUUUCAUGUCAAUCAUUGUAUUCAUUCCCUAACCUAAGUCUCAAACGAUUCAUUUUCCCAAAUUCACAUCUAAAAUAACACAUUGUUUUCAUUCCCUAACCUAAGUCUCAAACGAUUCAUUUCCCCAAAUUCACAUCUAAAAUAACAAUCUCCUUUUACUUUUACUCUAAUAGUUCGUCAAGGAUCGAUUUUGCAAGUUCAUCCGGUUUAGCAUUCCACUUCUUCAUUUUCACCGCAAAAGUAAGCUUCAUAUCUUAGUUGCAGGUAUCAAAGUAGUGGUGAAUUGCAGCGCAAGAGAAAGGGUUUCAAAACGGGUUUCUAUAUAUCAAAGUAGCGGUGAAUUGCAGCGCGAGAGAAAGAGUUUUAAAAUGGGUUUCUUUGUUUUUUUAUUCAUAAUCACGUUGAAUAUAGAGAAAGAGUAUAAUAACCAUUAAUUUUGAAUCUUAUUUUAGAUCCGAGCUGGGUACCAAUUGACAGGGAAUCCAACCAUU
RNAcentral lists this long non-coding RNA (540 nucleotides) under Lathyrus oleraceus (garden pea). Its description in RNAcentral is "Pisum sativum (pea) long non-coding RNA (PSAT_LNC016491)". The record is from RNAcentral. Lineage: Eukaryota; Viridiplantae; Streptophyta; Magnoliopsida; Fabales; Fabaceae.